UUGAGAAAGGGGAAGUCAGGGAUGAGGUCUAUGUUCUGUACUUCCCUUCCACCCUCAAACCUCCUUCCAUCAAGCCCAGGUGCUGUAUGGGAAUAUAAUGAAGCAAAACCGAUUCCUCUAGUGGCCGUGUCCAAACAUAUAUGUCUCAUUCUGCAUCUUGAGUCCAUCACCUCGGAGGUUUGAGCCAGCACCAAGGUGAGCUGAUCCUUUCAAGGUGAGCUGAGGGGAGAAUGCAGUUAGGACUGGAACAAUCAAUCCAUCCUACUCCAUCUGGCUGCCAACAACCAACACCAACAGCCUGAAGAAUCAAAGGAGCAGGGCCUGGGAAUUGAGAUUCAGCCUCUCACCAGCCUGUAGCCUGAGGACUUCCAGGGACCAACCUCAGACAAAAGCGUGUGGAUUUAGAAGAUAUCUCCAAAAUGACUCCGUGGAGAUGGCCUCCACUCCAAGGAGCAGAAAGUCUCAGCACUAUUACUACAAAUCCUCCACUCUAGUUUGACUCUGAUGUUACCAAAUGGAAUGAAUCAGUUGUCCAUGGACCCUGGGUUCUCAAAGGCCCAUGAGACCAGGAGACAAACUCUGGAAGAUUCUCAUUUAGCUUUGACCACAGCUGAAGGACAGACUUUGUGCUUGUCAUCUUAAGUCCAACUUAGGAAAGUCGAGAGAGGUUUAUCACCAGAGGAUUGACCACCACAUGAAGACUACAGUUAAUAACAUACUUCCAUGGAAUGUGGGAUUUCAACAGGUCAGAUAAGCAAUUAAAAUCAGCUUGGAGCCUGGAUAUGUGAGCAU
This is a long non-coding RNA of Phascolarctos cinereus (koala), 792 nucleotides long. RefSeq lists it as uncharacterized. Lineage: Eukaryota; Metazoa; Chordata; Mammalia; Diprotodontia; Phascolarctidae. The record is from RefSeq and is a predicted model, not a curated record.